RNAcentral lists this ribosomal RNA (459 nucleotides) under uncultured bacterium. RNAcentral describes it as "partial 16S ribosomal RNA". It matches the Rfam family "Bacterial small subunit ribosomal RNA", at positions 338 to 795 of the family's 1533-position model. The record is from RNAcentral.
CCUACGGGGGGCAGCAGUGAGGAAUAUUGGUCAAUGGACGAGAGUCUGAACCAGCCAAGUAGCGUGAAGGAUGACUGCCCUAUGGGUUGUAAACUUCUUUUAUAUGGGAAUAAAACGUUCCACGUGUGGGAUUUUGUAUGUACCAUAUGAAUAAGGAUCGGCUAACUCCGUGCCAGCAGCCGCGGUAAUACGGAGGAUCCGAGCGUUAUCCGGAUUUAUUGGGUUUAAAGGGAGCGUAGGUGGAUUGUUAAGUCAGUUGUGAAAGUUUGCGGCUCAACCGUAAAAUUGCAGUUGAAACUGGCAGUCUUGAGUACAGUAGAGGUGGGCGGAAUUCGUGGUGUAGCGGUGAAAUGCUUAGAUAUCACGAAGAACUCCGAUUGCGAAGGCAGUUCACUGGACUGCAACUGACACUGAGGUCGAAAGUGUGGGUAUCAAACAGGAUUAGAUACCCUUGUAGUC